This 216-nucleotide ribosomal RNA is filed under the name Glomeromycotina sp. RNAcentral's name for it is "partial small subunit ribosomal RNA". The stretch from base 40 to 216 matches the Rfam family "Eukaryotic small subunit ribosomal RNA", at positions 686 to 864 of the family's 1831-position model. Lineage: Eukaryota; Fungi; Glomeromycota. The record is from RNAcentral.
GGGUCAGUAGGUUGGUCGUGCCACCGGUACGUACUGGUCUCACUGAUUCCUCCUUCCUGAAGAACCGUAAUGCCAUUAAUUUGGUGUUGCGGGGAAACAGGACUGUUACUUUGAAAAAAUUAGAGUGUUUAAAGCAAGCUAACGCUUGAACACAUUAGCAUGGAAUAAUGAAAUAGGACGAUCGAUCCUAUUUUGUUGGUUUCUGGGAUUGACGUA